This 506-nucleotide non-coding RNA is filed under the name Pongo abelii (Sumatran orangutan). The record is from RNAcentral. Lineage: Eukaryota; Metazoa; Chordata; Mammalia; Primates; Hominidae.
UAGCGUACAGAGGCCGCAGAGGUUAGAGACGCAGCAAUGCAUGGCUAUUCAGCCACGGACGUCAAAUGCCUGCCAGACAUUUAGAAUCCCCAAACUCACUGAGGACACGUUUUCCUCCUGAGAACGGCAGAAUGGUAACAAAGAACACAUGAAAAGAAAAUGCUUUCAAGGACCAAAGGAAUUCAUCUACAAAUAUGGAAUUUCCAGCAUGGAAGUCAGUGACAAAGCCCUGGCAUGCCCCCAUCGCAGACGUCCUGAGAACACCGUCCAGUGGGAUGAGGCCAGCCCUGCCCUGAGAAGCUGAGAUUCCCACCCCACCGGGAGGGAGCUGAGCACCCUCACAGCAACUCUGAGCCCCUGACUCCAAAGGAGACUCUUCUGUGGUAUCAGACGUAGAGGGCGGGGUCCCUUAAAGUAAAAUUCCACAACAGGGCAGUAGAAAGAUGCAAUGAAAUAUACACGAGUUAUUAAAUAUUGUCAUCAAGAUGAGUAAUAAAUCAGACAUU